UUUUGUAGUUUGUUCUCCAUGUGGUACAGGCCUACCCAACACAUGGGUGGAAAAGCAAGAAUAUGUUUGUGAAGCAAUGCUGAAUGAGCAAGUCUGAAAUGAUGAUGUAUGCGUAAUUCAAUCAAAUGUGUACUCGAGAGAAAGAAUUAGAAGACAUGUAUAAACACUUAAAAGAUAAUUCUCGAGUAGAUAGCUGAAAUUUUUUGAUGAAAACAUUGUUUUCAUUUUUCAAUAUUCUUUAGAUUACUCAUUCAAACCUUUCAUUCUGUAUUUGUAGAUUCUGGAGCCAUAGUUCUGGUAGUUUCCCAACAUACAAAGGCAACUAGUUUUUCAUUUGGACAAACAGGUUAGCAGCCUCUCAAAUCAGUGUUGUCGCUUUCGCUUUGAACUUUGUUAUAUAUUUAUCGCAUGUGGAUUGGACAUUUCUUUGCUUGUGGAUGCUCAGAGAAUGUUCAUUUGAUAAGUCAACUCCACAAGUAUGAUGAUAGCUGUGUUGCUUUUGGAUUCUGAAACUAUAUUAUCAUUUAUUCUUAGCAAUGUUAUAGUGAAAAACAUUGCUAUAAAAUUCUUUAGAUUACUCAUUGAACUAGAGGUCUCUUCACUUUCGUUUGGGUCAUGGCAACCAGUGUGAGCCAUGUCAACCAGGGCUCUAGGAUCAUAGAAGCAAUGUUGCAGAAGAACAAGAUUUGUUGCAAUGCAGCUCCAUAGGAACGAUAAAUAGAAACAUAUCAAAUAUUAGCAAAAAUAGAAAUUUUAGGCACAAUAGAAAGGAAUGCUGUAACUAGGCUGGGUGCGAUCGCCAGUAAAAGAAGGAGCAUAUCCGGAAAGUGAUACCAGCAGCAGUAGAGAAAAACUCCUGCUUACAGUGAAAGAAGCUAUCUGCUGAUGAUAACAAGAACAGUACCUAUAGCACCAAUAGCAUACUUUCUUGUUCCCUACUAGUAUGGGGAGCUGUCACCAGGGCCUAUGAUCCAAACCCAUACCUAGAUGCCUUUCUGAUGUCUCUCUCUCUUAGGUUUAGUCUGUAGCCUCACUUCCUUGAUUCUCUCUUUGUUUAGUAAGUCUGAGCUCCCCGCUUUCUUCUUUGUUCUUUCCUCUCUUCAGGAAUAUAGUCAGGCCUUUCCCUUUUUUAGUAGCUAGCGGGCAGGUAGCUUUUUGUAUUUGGCAUUCCUAUUGGGAAGCUAUGCAGUACGAACCCAGAGCCAAGUCACUAUGGUAUCCCCGACUACAAGUAGACUAUUCCGGAGGAAGGGUCAAUUGAUAAUGAUCCUUCUUAUGUGCACGUCGAAUAUCAGUUAUGAAAGAUCGUCCAAGAUCUAUUAGUUGCUUUGUGACUCUGUUCUGAACUUUGCGUAACUGCAUGAUUUCGUUAGUGAAGCAGUUAUGAAUAAGGAAGUCCCAAAUGGAUUAUAUGAUUAUGAUAUUUUUAGGUUACUACUCUUUCUUUCAUUCUGACUUGUACAGAUUUAGUGCCCAUAUUUCAGUUAUUUAUUAAUGCAUGAAACCAUGUUGUUUUGCAUGUUGACAAACAGCUUGGUUAGUAGUGUCUCAAAUCUAUGGUUUUGUCAGACUUUGGUACUUAUACAAUGUACGAAUGUAACGAAGCAGUCUUUUGCAUUGUAGAUUCUGGAAUCUUAGUUCUUAUAUCUGUUUAAAAUCCAAUCAUGCUAAACAUUUGUACAUUGGAUUCUCUUGGCAUAUACACCUUAACAAGUUCUGGAGGCCACUGCAGACCUACUACGAGUAUGUUCUGCACUAGUGAGAAAUGUUGUAAUUGGCUAACAAAGUGUUCUGUUCUUCUACGAAAUAAUGGAUUAGAGCUAAGUGGAGGAGAUGCGGCUGGGAUUACUUAAAAGGGAGACCUAAAGGGAGGUUUGGAAGCCACUAGGGGUGUAAUGGAAGGUGAUCCUUUUUCACCUAUCUAUGAGUCUUGUGGUGGAUGUCUCUUGAAUAACAAGAUGAAGAGCAUAAGAAUUGAGAUUGAUUGAUGGUUUGCCUGUUAGAAAGAAGGAGGCUGAAAUUUUGGAAAUUUUCAUGUUACUAUCUUCAAAUUAUUGUGCUUGCUGAAUCUUCUUCUUGAAGUGAACUGGAGAUGGUAGGUUCUCUUGUAUGAUGCCCCUUCGGAUGUUGAGGACAUUUCAAUCUCCUGUUCGAUCUGUGAGCUCAUAUAUUCAAUCUUGCACUAAUAAGAAAGGAGGCUUUGAGCCAUGAAGCUAUCCCUUUUACCGGGAAUUUACAAACCAAAGCUUCAGAAUCACAGGCUUUGCUUUCUGAUCUCAGGUUAUGCUCAUCUUUGAGUGUAAGAAAAUUGAAGCGGAAGGAGAUGCUCAAGGUGUAAUCAAGAGCCUGGCUAGUACUAGCUUUGAUUUCAGUGAGGAAGAAGUUCUCAUGGAUAAUGUAAGACAGUGAAGUCGAGAGUUUUGAGUCAAUUUCAUAUGGGUUGUAGCAACGGUGCAGCAAAAUGUACAUGGCUCUCUUUUCAUCUUUCGCUGGUCACCUUGCAGUAAAGUUUUCUAGACAGCUUCAAGGCUUAGCACCUGUUUUACAUCUCACCGGAUUAUUGCACGUCUUCUUUGUGCCAAAAGUCCACCAGUUACCACCAAACUUUGGCAACCUCAGUCGGCUUUCUGUUUCUACAUCUUUUGAAUCUCUGAUCCCCAUUGUAAUUAUUGAGGAAGUCUUGGAUUUAUUUUUAAUUGCCAGCUUGUCCUAGUGUUGGAAAUAUAUAUUUUCUUAUUAACUGAAAAUGUUCUAAGAUGCAUUGGGUGUGUGUGUGUGUGUUGUUUGUUUUUUUUUUUUUUUUUUUUUGCUCAAAUUAUUUUUGUUUUGGCGUACUGCAAUUUCUUCACUAUUCCUAUUGAUUUGAUACCGAGUGGCACUUCACUAGUCAUAUGUCGACGUUACAAUUUUCCUUAAGUAUAGUAUAUUCAAAUUCAAUCAUGGUUCUUCAAGCUAGUUUACUCAGUUCUUGUCUCUGCAGAUUGUUGCUGUGUUUCUAUAAUUCUUAUUGACGGUCACUCAAUGUUAGCAAAUCAGAAGUUCAAAGUUCUGAUCCCAAGCGAGUUCAGCUUCAUGGGCAGUAAGUCUUAAGCUUUUUGGUACCAUACUAUGUAAAUUUCGUCAUUACUAAUUUAUGCUGCUAAGAAAGUAAAAUUGCAGAGAAAUUAUAAAGAUGCUUAGAUAAUUUUCUUGUAUUGAUGAGAAAAGCUAUAACACAAUUGUAAGCUAAAGCAAGAUCUGACAAAAUCAAUACGCUCCAGCUAACUACCUAAAGCCUUCACCUAGUACUUGUGAUGUUUGUUUAUCGACUCUUAACAAUCUUGAGCUGCAGGUGAGUGAUCACUAGACAAUGGGCAUUGUUGCUGCUUGCUUGUGUUUAACACUCUGAUAUAAACAAUGGUUGCAUAUAGUUAUCUGAACGCUGAUCAGUACUUGGUCCCUCUGUAAGGAUUUCUGCACCUUGAUCCGUUCAUGGCAUAAAUUAAUUAAAAGUAGAACACUCUGUCAACUUCAAGUGAACAUUCACUUCUCAUGUUUCUAGUUUAGAAUUAAGGAUAGGGUUUGAGGUAAGAGAAAGAGUUGAUAUGUUGUCAGUGUAGAAUCACUGCAGUAAUCUGUCUUAAAGAAUGCCUUGAUCGAGACCGAGUAUUGUUUCUUUAAACACCAAGGCAGAUGAUAAUCAAUGUUGAAAGUUCCCUUGGUUCUGAAGGAGCAGAUCCAAAAGUAUGCCUUGAAAAAAAAAAAAUGCUCCCUGCUCUUAUCUGAGAGUUCUUAUAAUAGCAGCAAAGAGGUUUUACGUGAUAUUUUGCAUUGAAUGACAUGGUUUUUAGACUCUAGGUUAUAUCAGCCCUUGAAGGUUUAGAUGCUGAAACAAGCAAGAAUGCUCCUACAUUGAGUUACAAAGGCAAGGAGUGGUACUGGGCUAGUUAUCUAUCAGACUGAUCAUCAUCAAUACUGUUAUCUUGUGCAUAUUCAAUCAGCUGGAAAAUAAUGUAAAAGCCCCAAAUCCUUCGCUUCAAACGCGUUUUGAACUGCAACAUCGUUAGUUCUUGCGCUGAUUAUAUCAUCUACAAAUAGCAGAAGGUACACUAAUAUGAGGCUGUGAUGAAUAAGGAGGACGGAUCAGCAUGAGAGCACUGACGUCAAAUAUGAGAUGAACCUCUCAUUCCAAGCCCCCACGGUGCCUGCUCAAGAAAAAAUAAAUCACAGACAAAAUUUGGAUGCACAGGGUCCUAAAUCCAGAUUGAGCCAUAAAAACUUGCUUCUUAAAGCACUUAAUGGAGAAAAGCAUUCAUCACACUCAUUUGAUGGAGCUCUGAACCAAACUAUGCUGCAAGAGCAAGAAAUCGUUCCCAUGCUUGCUACUACCACUCAUGAGAAUGUCAUUGAUGGUAAUCUAUGAGAGAGAGAGAGAGAGA
Molecule: long non-coding RNA, 4418 nt
Filed under: Fragaria vesca (wild strawberry)
Lineage: Eukaryota; Viridiplantae; Streptophyta; Magnoliopsida; Rosales; Rosaceae
Description: long non-coding RNA (FVES_LNC002897)
Source: RNAcentral